UCGAUCAGGAGGAAAGGGGCGACCAGGGCUUUCUCCAAGCCCUAACUUCUUGCUAGAAAUCUGCAAAUUGAAGCCCCAAUUCAGUUCCAAAUCAAAUUCUAAACACGAAUUAGUGAUCACCUCGUCACAAGAAUCAAAAGGCAAAGAGUCCGGAUCAUCAAGCGGACAAGCCGGGGGGAGUUCAAAGGGAAAAGGCGCGCUUUAAAGGCAAAGAGUCUGGAUCAUCAAGCGGACAAGCCGGGGGGAGUUCAAAGGGAAAAGGCGCGCUUUAAAGUUUUUCAGGUUUUCUAGUAGAUGGGUGAUGAUCAGGCAGGAGCAACUGAACCGAACACUCUAUCAAACGCUUCCGCACAUGAUCUUAUGUUUUAAAAACUAUGUAAACAUUUGUGGUCAACGACUCAAUUAUGGUUUUGUACAAACAAUACAUGUAUGUUGUGUCUAGUUAUGGUCUAGAAUAUUAAAAGAUUUUGUAAACUCUAAAUUUUUGGCAUCAAGUGUAAGGUUCCACGUUAUUAAUUCUAGUACUUUAAACUGA
Helianthus annuus (common sunflower) is the source of this 535-nucleotide long non-coding RNA. RefSeq lists it as uncharacterized. The record is from RefSeq and is a predicted model, not a curated record. The transcript is spliced from 4 exons. Lineage: Eukaryota; Viridiplantae; Streptophyta; Magnoliopsida; Asterales; Asteraceae.